This 29-nucleotide small RNA is filed under the name Bombyx mori (domestic silkworm). RNAcentral describes it as "piRNA piR-bmo-1485871". Lineage: Eukaryota; Metazoa; Arthropoda; Insecta; Lepidoptera; Bombycidae. The record is from RNAcentral.
UAUCGAGAGGGACAACGUGCAGGGCCCGU